UGGGGAAUAUUGGACAAUGGGCGCAAGCCUGAUCCAGCCAUGCCGCGUGAGUGAUGAAGGCCCUAGGGUUGUAAAGCUCUUUUGUGCGGGAAGAUAAUGACGGUACCGCAAGAAUAAGCCCCGGCUAACUUCGUGCCAGCAGCCGCGGUAAUACGAAGGGGGCUAGCGUUGCUCGGAAUCACUGGGCGUAAAGGGUGCGUAGGCGGGUCUUUAAGUCAGGGGUGAAAUCCUGGGGCUCAACUCCAGAACUGCCUUUGAUACUGAGGAUCUUGAGUUCGGGAGAGGUGAGUGGAACUGCGAGUGUAGAGGUGAAAUUCGUAGAUAUUCGCAAGAACACCAGUGGCGAAGGCGGCUCACUGGCCCGAUACUGACGCUGAGGCACGAAAGCGUGGGGAGCAAACA
RNAcentral lists this ribosomal RNA (402 nucleotides) under uncultured bacterium. RNAcentral describes it as "bacterial SSU rRNA". It matches the Rfam family "Bacterial small subunit ribosomal RNA", at positions 355 to 774 of the family's 1533-position model. The record is from RNAcentral.